CAGUAGCCGCGGUAAUACGUAGGCAGCAAGCGUUGUUCGGAGUUACUGGGCGUAAAGGGUGUGUAGGCGGUUCUCUAAGUUUGGUGUGAAAUCUCCCGGCUCAACCGGGAGGGUGCGCCGAAAACUGGGGAGCUAGAGUAUGGGAUGGGAAAGUGGAAUUCCUGGUGCAGCGGUGAAAUGCGUAGAUAUCAGGAGGAACACCGGUGGUGUAGACGGCUUUCUGGACCAUAACUGACGCUGAGACACGAAAGCGUGGGUAGCAAACAGGAUUAGAUACCCGGGUAGUCCCUGUCUCUUAUAA
This 301-nucleotide ribosomal RNA is filed under the name uncultured bacterium. Its description in RNAcentral is "partial 16S ribosomal RNA". It matches the Rfam family "Bacterial small subunit ribosomal RNA", at positions 509 to 809 of the family's 1533-position model. The record is from RNAcentral.